This 460-nucleotide ribosomal RNA is filed under the name uncultured bacterium. RNAcentral describes it as "partial 16S ribosomal RNA". It matches the Rfam family "Bacterial small subunit ribosomal RNA", at positions 338 to 795 of the family's 1533-position model. The record is from RNAcentral.
CCUACGGGAGGCUGCAGUGAGGAAUAUUGGUCAAUGGACGAGAGUCUGAACCAGCCAAGUAGCGUGAAGGAUGACUGCCCUAUGGGUUGUAAACUUCUUUUAUAUGGGAAUAAAAUGUUCCACGUGUGGGAUUUUGUAUGUACCAUAUGAAUAAGGAUCGGCUAACUCCGUGCCAGCAGCCGCGGUAAUACGGAGGAUCCGAGCGUUAUCCGGAUUUAUUGGGUGUAAAGGGAGCGUAGGUGGAUUGUUAAGUCAGUUGUGAAAGUUUGCGGCUCAACCGUAAAAUUGCAGUUGAAACUGGCAGUCUUGAGUACAGUAGAGGUGGGCGGAAUUCGUGGUGUAGCGGUGAAAUGCUUAGAUAUCACGAAGAACUCCGAUUGCGAAGGCAGUUCACUGGACUGCAACUGACACUGAGGCUCGAAAGUGUGGGUAUCAAACAGGAUUAGAUACCCUAGUAGUC